This is a long non-coding RNA of Athene cunicularia (burrowing owl), 617 nucleotides long. RefSeq lists it as uncharacterized. The transcript is spliced from 3 exons. NCBI's taxonomy places the organism in Eukaryota, Metazoa, Chordata, Aves, Strigiformes, Strigidae. The record is from RefSeq and is a predicted model, not a curated record.
CAAACGGAUGAGGGUGGAUGGUGCCGGGCUACCCUGUAGGGCUGUACCAAGAUCAGUGCUAGCUGGGCCGCAGAAACGGGUACAUAGGUCUGUUCAUCAACACAAAGGAUGCUAUUUUUGACAUCUUUAUGUUGCUAUGGAUUUGUUACCUGCUGACUGAAAGCCUCUGUCAGGUACACAUCAUACAACCAGUUAGAGCAGCAAACGGCCUGUUCUUGCUAGAACAGAAACUUCAUCUAUGGCAGCAGCAAGAGAUGGGAUUUGUGACACCAACGCUAAAGUGAGACUAAGCUUCAACCCUUCAUAUAGAACUGUUUGCUGAAAGAGAAACCUGCAGUUCCAAAAGCAGUGCUUGAAUGCGUGAGAGCAUGCUUCUCAUAGAAGGUGAAUGAUGUCUUAAAAAACUUUAUGAAAUGCAAACUCAGUUAAAUCUUCUCAAGUUUCUUCUUUGAAAGGCAACAAUAAAUCAGUAAUUUGACUUUUCCUAGAGCUGUUACUUGAAUAAUUUGGGAGAGGAACAGCUAAGGUUCUGAUGUAUGUAUAAGAUGCCUUUCUCUCCUUUCAGAUCAAGAUUUGUAGUUUGAUUUACUAUGAAGACCAGAAAGGUCAACUUUAUU